CGGCCAAGAUGGCCGCCUCCCCCGCAGGGCGGGGCCUGCGCCGCACACCAUAGAGAGGAGAGGAAGGACGGGAGAGGGGCAGGGACAGAGCGGCGCUUGCGGGAGGGAAGGGGCGCGGCGACGCGCCCGUUGAUGGCGUCAUCACCGAGUGACGCCGGCUGUAGCGGCGCCUGACGUAAGCGCAGUGCCCGCGCUCCCGGUGGUAAGGGAGCCCGGCUCCCUCAGCUCCGUCCUGGUGCGGGCCACGCGCGCCGCCUCUCCCCACCGGCUGCACGCGGGCACCUGUUUUCCGCCCCCGUAUUUAAACCGCUUUCGCACGCCGCUUGCAGCUUUGCGCUUGCGCGGCCUUUGAACGGUCGGAGCCGGCUCGCUACCGGAGGUGACGGCCCCGUAUGCCGCCUCCCGCUCCCUUCUGCUCCUGCGGUGCUGAGGCUCAGAAAUGACUACCCCAAACAAGACACCACCUGGUGCAGAUCCAAAGCAGUUAGAGAGGACGGGUACUGUAAGAGAAAUAGGCUCACAAGCAGUCUGGUCACUUUCAUCUUGUAAACCAGGAUUUGGGGUGGAUCAGUUACGAGAUGAUAAUCUAGAAACUUACUGGCAGUCGGAUGGAUCACAGCCUCAUUUGGUGAACAUCCAAUUUAGAAGAAAAACAACUGUGAAGACAUUAUGUAUCUAUGCAGACUACAAGUCUGAUGAAAGCUACACUCCAAGCAAAAUCUCUGUCAGAGUGGGAAAUAAUUUUCAUAAUCUCCAGGAAAUCCGGCAUCGAAUCACCUCAAGGUACACAAAAGACAUCCUUCCACCUUACCCACCGUGUGCACCCAAUUCUUUGAGCAAAAGCAAUCUCAUGAGUAGAAUCAUAGAAUGACCAAGGUUGGAAAAGACUUCAAGGAUCAUUCAGUCCAACCAUCCACAUAUUGCCAGUAUUUCCUGCUAAACUAUGUCCCUCAGUACAACAUCCACAUGUACCUUGAACACCUUCCGGGUUGGUUACUCCACCACAUCCUUGGACAUCCUGUUCCAGUGCCUGACCACUCAACUGAAGAAGAGAGAGGUUGCUUCCAUUACUGUAAGCACAUGACAUUUGCCACGCAACUUGAAUUAGUGGAACCAAGCGGCUGGAUUCAUGUUCCUUUAACAGAUACCCAUAAGAAGCCU
Non-coding RNA from Meleagris gallopavo (turkey), 1161 nucleotides. The record is from RefSeq and is a predicted model, not a curated record. NCBI's taxonomy places the organism in Eukaryota, Metazoa, Chordata, Aves, Galliformes, Phasianidae.